RNAcentral lists this small RNA (1303 nucleotides) under Histoplasma ohiense. Its description in RNAcentral is "hypothetical lncRNA". The record is from RNAcentral. Lineage: Eukaryota; Fungi; Ascomycota; Eurotiomycetes; Onygenales; Ajellomycetaceae.
GCAAGCUAUCCCUCGCUGCUAAGCUAUCGCCGCUGCCAAUCUAUCUAUUGCUGCUAAUCUAUCACUGCUGUCAAUCUAUCUAUCACUGCUAAUCUAUCUAUCGCUGCUAAUCUAUCGCCGCUGCCAAUCUAUCCCUCACUGCUAAGCUAUCCCUCGCUGCUAAGCUAUCACUGCCAAUCUAUCGCUGCUAAUCUAUCGCUGCCAACCUAUCUACCGUGGCGAAUCUAUCUAUCGCUGCCAAUUUAUCUACCACUGCCAAUCUAUCUAUCGCUGCCAAUCUAUCGCUGCUAAUCUAUCACUGCCAAUCUAUCGCUGCUAAUCUAUCACUGCUAAUCUAUCGCUGCCAAUCUAUUGCUGCUAAUCUAUCGCUGCUAAUCUAUCGCUGCUGCCAAUCUAUCUAUCGCUGCUAAUCUAUCGCCGCUGCCAAUCUAUCCCUCGCUGCUAAGCUAUCCCUCACUGCUAAGCUAUCACUGCCAAUCUAUCGCUGCUAAUCUAUCGCUGCCAACCUAUCUACCGCGGCGAAUCUAUCUAUCGCUGCCAAUUUAUCUACCACUGCCAAUCUAUCUAUCGCUGCCAAUCUAUUGCUGCUAAUCUAUCGCUGCUAAUCUAUCGCUGCUGCCAAUCUAUCUAUCGCUGCUAAUCUAUCGCCGCUGCCAAUCUAUCCCUCGCUGCUAAGCUAUCCCUCACUGCUAAGCUAUCACUGCCAAUCUAUCGCUGCUAAUCUAUCGCUGCCAACCUAUCUACCGCGGCGAAUCUAUCUAUCGCUGCCAAUUUAUCUACCACUGCCAAUCUAUCUAUCGCUGCCAAUCUAUCGCUGCUAAUCUAUCACUGCUAAUCUAUCGCUGCUAAUCUAUCGCUGCUAAUCUAUCGCUGCCAACCUAUCUACCGCGGCGAAUCUAUCUAUCACUAUCAUUACUAGUUCAAAAUAGAACUAGAGCAUAAACACACUAAACUUCUUUUGAUAGGUAAUGAUUUUUGGUAACGCUCAUAGCAUUAUAUCAUCUAUAUAGGGUAAAUCAUGGUCCCAUUUGGUCCCAUUUUAACAAAAUGGGACCAAAUGGGACCAGAAUCAGUAAUUUAUAAGAAGAACAUGACCUGGGACUAGAUUUAUAAUAUAAACAGUGUAAAGUGACUAAUUUAAUAAACACUAUAUGGGACCAGGACUAAGAAAUUUGAUAAUGGGACUGGAGAAAUAUUUAGUCCCAGUCCCAUGCAUGGUCACACAGCCAGUCUAACUUGAAUGACAGAUGGAAACACUGAGAGCAUCAGUUAAUUGACUCUGCAAUUAUAGAAAGUUCUACAC